GCCUACAUGGUGUAGUGGUUUGAGACUUAGACUAUGACUCUGGAGACCAGGGUUUGAAUCCCUGCUCAGCCA
Molecule: non-coding RNA, 72 nt
Organism: Phrynosoma platyrhinos (Desert horned lizard)
Lineage: Eukaryota; Metazoa; Chordata; Lepidosauria; Squamata; Phrynosomatidae
Source: the annotation of a GenBank genome assembly